RNAcentral lists this ribosomal RNA (253 nucleotides) under uncultured bacterium. RNAcentral describes it as "partial 16S ribosomal RNA". It matches the Rfam family "Bacterial small subunit ribosomal RNA", at positions 524 to 776 of the family's 1533-position model. The record is from RNAcentral.
UACGUAGGUGGCAAGCGUUGUCCGGAAUUAUUGGGCGUAAAGCGCGCGCAGGCGGUUCCUUAAGUCUGAUGUGAAAGCCCCCGGCUCAACCGGGGAGGGUCAUUGGAAACUGGGGAACUUGAGUGCAGGAGAGGAAAGCGGAAUUCCACGUGUAGCGUGAAAUGCGUAGAGUAUGUGGAGGAACACCAGUGGCGAAGGCGGCUUUCUGGUCUGUAACUGACGCUGAGGCGCGAAAGCGUGGGGAGCAAACAGG